RNAcentral lists this ribosomal RNA (463 nucleotides) under uncultured bacterium. RNAcentral's name for it is "partial 16S ribosomal RNA". It matches the Rfam family "Bacterial small subunit ribosomal RNA", at positions 28 to 507 of the family's 1533-position model. The record is from RNAcentral.
GAUGAACGCUGACAGAAUGCUUAACACAUGCAAGUCUUUGGCGAAUCUGUGCUUGCACAGGCUAGCCAAGGCGGACGGGUGAGUAACGCGUAAAGAACUUGCCCUGCAGACAGGGAUAACAGACGGAAACGACUGAUAACACCUGAUACAGUUGCCGGCACGCAUGUGCCUGGCAAUGAAAAGAGAUGCUGCAGGAGAGCUUUGCGUCCUAUUAGCUUGUUGGUGAGGUGACGGCUCACCAAGGCGAUGAUAGGUAGCCGGCCUGAGAGGGUGAACGGCCACAAGGGGACUGAGAUACGGCCCUGACUCCUACGGGAGGCAGCAGUGGGGAAUAUUGGACAAUGGGGGCAACCCUGAUCCAGCAAUUCUGUGUGCACGAAGAAGGUUUUCGGAGUGUAAAGUGCUUUCAGAAGGGAAGAAGAAAGUGACGGUACCUGCAGAAGAAGCGACGGCUAAAUACGUG